GUCCUUGGAUGAAUGGUCUAAACCGUUGGUUUUCGACCGCUACGACCCGGGUUCGAUUCCUGGAUUGGGCA
This is a non-coding RNA of Cordylochernes scorpioides, 71 nucleotides long. Lineage: Eukaryota; Metazoa; Arthropoda; Arachnida; Pseudoscorpiones; Chernetidae. The record is from the annotation of a GenBank genome assembly.